Long non-coding RNA from Notothenia coriiceps (black rockcod), 2565 nucleotides. RefSeq lists it as uncharacterized. The transcript is spliced from 2 exons. NCBI's taxonomy places the organism in Eukaryota, Metazoa, Chordata, Actinopteri, Perciformes, Nototheniidae. The record is from RefSeq and is a predicted model, not a curated record.
UUGUUUAAUUAUUUUUAGUUAACUUUUUUUUUUUCAAGCUACGAGAUGUUUUCCUACGUUUCUCAUGAAAAAUGAUGUCUCAGGAAUGUAGGGUUUGGGAAUUAUGGCAGGUUUAAAAUAAAAUAUGAAAAAUCAAAAUUAAAUCUGUCCUCCACUAUAGCUGUGACAUCACGCACUCUAAAUCUGAAGAAGUCCUCUUUACCAAGUUCUGAACAAUGUUUAAUAUCUCUAAAAGUAAGAAUCAGAUUUAAAAAGUUGUGUUACACGAAUAAUGUCAGAAAGAUGUGUAACAUUUUAAAGUUGGAAUGAGGUUUCUGAGUGAAAGUAUGAAGGAGCAGUUAGCAGUUGAAGUUACAUGAAGAUUGUUCAAGUCUGAAGAGUUUCUCCAUUGACUUCCAUGUUAAAAAGUUGAUGAAUUAUGGUAUAUAUCUGGAAUUAUGAAAGUUAUGAAUAAGAAAAGUAAUAGCCAUCGAUUCCCGACCGAGCUGAACGUUUUGAUGUUUGAACGGAGUUUCUGCGAUGUGGGAUGUGGGAGAAGAAGAGUUGCAAAAUAACCCGGCGGAAUAAUAAAGAAUUUGUGCGUAGCAUAACAGAUAGUCGGAAUGCUGUAUCAGCAUUCCCACUAAAAUACUUUUCCCACUGCAUGUUAAGUGCUGAAGUAUUUCCCUGGAAGGCAGAUUAAGGCUGUAAGCAAAUACAAACAGGUUAGUCAACUAAGAUGUGGGGAUUCAGUCAAGCACACCCACCUGUUCGACGGCCUUUCACAUUUUACUACUUCCAAAAUCUUCUCCAGUAUGAUCACAAUUCUAACAAUCUGCAAUAUUUACUGCCUCAGUACAAAUACAAAGCUACACUCUUAAAGUGUCUUUUAGGACAACUUCUAUCUUGCCUAAGAUAGUCUUUGCAGUCAAACAUAUAAGCAUAUAAAACAAACGGCAAAACAUACGUUUUAGCCAAAAACUAGAUAUUAUGUUGUGGGGCCAUAAUCGGCUAUCAAAAAAACAAGGUUUUCAUCAAGGUUUUUGAGAAAGCUAUCAUCUCCCUGUCGUCAUGCAAGAACUUAUCAACUGAAGGCAUCAGCACAAAGUCAUUUCCCAAAAAUGUAACGUCUGCAAUGUGCUUACUCAGCGUCUGGUAACUUUCCAUAACUCUUUCGCAAUUGAAUGUAAUUUUGAUGCAAACCAAACACACAAAUCCCCAUCAGGAAGACGCCUUAUAAUAUGUACCCCAAAAAUAGGGAAAUAUUAUUCCCAUUUACUUUUUAAAUUGUCUGGACUCGUUUAUUAGCCCUUAAGAUUGUACUAAGCCUUUAUGGUGCAUUUACAAGUUGGAGAUUUCAUUUGAACUUCUGUAUGUUUUCUAUACACUCUAAAUAAUAUAAAUAUUACAUGUGUUAUUCUCUUUCAUACAGAUGCAUCUUGGGACAGGCUCAGCUACUACCCAUAUCACUAUGAAAGCCUCCCCACGCUCACACCUCUUCAUAUCACUGCCUCAGUACUUUUCCGCUCUGACCAACUAAUCUGACAACUGUGUGUUUGUCGCCUCCCACUUCUCCUUCUCAACCCCCUGCAAUUUGGCAAUGUGGAAAGUGUUUACGGACACCAUCAUCUGCUAUUAGCGGGUAGCACUGAACUGAGUGUUAACGGUAACUUUCACCAAAAGCCUAGUGUGUAUGUGUGUGUGCACAUGCACUUUCACACAUGCUAUAAGACUUCUGGGUAAUAUCAAGCACCAGUGAAAUGUGACCUUGCAGGCUACACAAACAAGUAUUUUGUGUUUCACCAAGAGAGGAAUCCCCUUUGGCCCUGUCACACCGAACAGCUGAUAACCCGAGGGGGGACUGUCUGCAGUGGAAAACUAAUUCCAGCGAAGCACCUGGUUCCAAAGUAAGUUGAGUUGAAUAGAGCCGUACCAAAGUGGAAACAUGGCCUUAAUGGCACAUACAGUUCAGAGAUUAGUUUGUCUAGAGCACCUUAAUUUACGUUUCUUGAAUUGUUCCAUUUAAAAUAAACAAAAUAUUAAAUAUAUUAAAGUUGACUGGGGAAAAUUAUAAUAUGUGUAUUAUGUGAAGACAGACCUCAUAAAGAAUGACAGAGAUGAUUGGAUCAACUAAAGGGCUGACAGAAGGAAACACGUGGUGACAGUGAGGAAGUAAGCGAAGAAGAGAUAUUGUUCUACUGGUGAGGACUGCCAGGAAAUACUGGGUGAAAAAUACAAAUUUGAGAACUGGUAUAUAACAAUGAAAAAAAGCUUUGCAUCCUCAAGGACAUACCAAAUAAAUGCCCAGUCACUGCUUUCUAGUCACUCUGGAAUAUGCUUUACUUUAAGUCUCAGUAAAAACAGACUUUUCACUAGUUUUCAACACACAUUUAUUUUCAAACAAAAUGUAAUCAUUAUAUAAAUUACUCUUGAUUAUACCAAGUCAGUCUGAUGCAUAUAUAUAUAUAUAUAUAUAUGUAUUAUAUAUAGUUUUGCCAGCUUGUCUCAGUCCAUGCUACUCUUUACUGCCGUGGAAGACUACAGUUUUAAAACCAUUGAUGGAAUGAAUGCAGAAAACAGAUACAA